This 194-nucleotide ribosomal RNA is filed under the name uncultured bacterium. RNAcentral describes it as "partial 16S ribosomal RNA". It matches the Rfam family "Bacterial small subunit ribosomal RNA", at positions 338 to 524 of the family's 1533-position model. The record is from RNAcentral.
CCUACGGGAGGCAGCAGUGGGGAAUAUUGCACAAUGGGCGCAAGCCUGAUGCAGCCAUGCCGCGUGUAUGAAGAAGGCCUUCGGGUUGUAAAGUACUUUCAGCGGGGAGGAAGGGAUGACGUUUAAUACGCGUCGUCAUUGACGUUACCCGCAGAAGAAGCACCGGCUAACUCUGUGCCAGCAGCCGCGGUAAU